GAGGAAAGUCCGUGCUAGCACAGACUGAGAUGUCUAUAGUGUUUGUGUAAGUAAAUAAAAAAUAAAACUUAACGAUUAGUGCGAACUAGUUGAUGGCGGAAAAUAAUUCUAAGUGAAUUCAAGAAUUUAUAUGAAUUAUUUUCCUUAAAGUGCCACAGAGACGAGCUUUAUAGAAAUAUAAAGUAUGAAACGCGGUAAACCCCUCAAGCAAGAAACCCAAAUUUCGGUAAGGGA
Molecule: RNase P RNA, 234 nt
Filed under: uncultured Mycoplasma sp.
Lineage: Bacteria; Bacillati; Mycoplasmatota; Mollicutes; Mycoplasmatales; Mycoplasmataceae
Description: partial rnpB
Rfam family: Bacterial RNase P class B
About the family: Ribonuclease P (RNase P) is a ubiquitous endoribonuclease, found in archaea, bacteria and eukarya as well as chloroplasts and mitochondria.
Source: RNAcentral